RNAcentral lists this ribosomal RNA (471 nucleotides) under Conotrachelus sp. SPN-023. RNAcentral's name for it is "partial 16S ribosomal RNA". Lineage: Eukaryota; Metazoa; Arthropoda; Insecta; Coleoptera; Curculionidae. The record is from RNAcentral.
GUUUAACAAAAACAUGUCUUUUUGAGUAUAAUUUAAAGUCAGACCUGCCCAAUGAAUAAAAUUUAAAUGGCCGCGGUAUAUUGACUGUGCAAAGGUAGCAUAAUCAUUAGUUUUUUAAUUGAAAGCUGGAAUGAAAGGUUAAAUGAAAAAAUUACUGUCUCUAUUUAAAUUUAUUAGAAUUUUAUUUUUAAGUAAAAAAGCUUAAAUUUUUAUAAAAGACGAGAAGACCCUAUAGAGUUUAAUAUUUAUUUAUAUUUUAAAUUUAGAAUUUUAUUUUAAAAUUUUAUUAUAGUAUUUGAUUGGGGUGAUAGAAAAAUUAAUUAAACUUUUUUUUUUAUAAUUACAUUUAUUUAUGAAAAAUUGAUCCUUUAAUAAAGAUUAAAAGAUAAAAUUACCUUAGGGAUAACAGCGUAAUUUUUUUUAAGAGUUCAAAUCGAAAAGAAAGAUUGCGACCUCGAUGUUGGAUUAAAA